UUUUUUCCCAGUAGUCUAACAGAAGUGGUCUCCAUGUUGUGAUGACGGACUACUCUUCAUCUCCCUGUGUGUAUAAAUACAGCGCAGUGAGAAACCAGACUUUUUAGCUGUGGAGCCCUGAAACACUGGGAGUGUAGCCUGUAUCUCUUGUGGAAACAGUGAUUCAAAGGACAGCAAAGGAAAAACUGGACAUUACUGAAGAAGGCAGAUGAGAUUAAAAAAUGUCUAGUCAUCGAAGCAUUGAUUAGAGAGGCAACAAGGAGGGAGCAGCUUUUCAUUUUGUCUCAUGGACUAUGCUGGAAGGAACAGUAGCUUCAGACCCUAAAAUCUUCUGACUACCUGUAGAAAGAAUUACAGCACAACAUCAAGAGAAGUUGAGAACUAAGAUUACCCUAUAACAAUGUUUUUGUUCCAAAGAAAU
This 421-nucleotide long non-coding RNA is filed under the name Anser brachyrhynchus (Pink-footed goose). Its description in RNAcentral is "lncRNA (ENSABRG00000008584.1)". Lineage: Eukaryota; Metazoa; Chordata; Aves; Anseriformes; Anatidae. The record is from RNAcentral.